CGACCGCUGGCGGCGUGCUUACCACAUGCAAGUCGAACGGCAAGGCCCUGCUUUUGUGGGGUGCUCGAGUGGCGAACGGGUGAGUAACACGUGAGUAACCUGCCCUUGACUUUGGGAUAACUUCAGGAAACUGGGGCUAAUACCGGAUAGGAGCUCCUGCUGCAUGGUGGGGGUUGGAAAGUUUCGGCGGUUGGGGAUGGACUCGCGGCUUAUCAGCUUGUUGGUGGGGUAGUGGCUUACCAAGGCUUUGACGGGUAGCCGGCCUGAGAGGGUGACCGGCCACAUUGGGACUGAGAUACGGCCCAGACUCCUACGGGAGGCAGCAGUGGGGAAUAUUGCACAAUGGGCGGAAGCCUGAUGCAGCAACGCCGCGUGCGGGAUGACGGCCUUCGGGUUGUAAACCGCUUUCGCCUGUGACGAAGCGUGGGUGACGGUAAUGGGUAAAGAAGCACCGGCUAACUACGUG
Molecule: ribosomal RNA, 466 nt
Filed under: uncultured bacterium
Lineage: Bacteria
Description: partial 16S ribosomal RNA
Rfam family: Bacterial small subunit ribosomal RNA
Source: RNAcentral